AGGGAAGAUCAGGCUCCUAGCAGGAGGAAGAAGUGCUAUCACUCUGGACAGAGCAGUGCUGCCAGCAAAGACCAGGGAAGCUAGAGAGAGCUCCUGGCUAGCUGCUAAGACUGGCAGGCUGAAGCCCUGAGUUUGAAUGGAUGCUGGGUAUAGUGGUUCAGGAUGCCCUGGUCAGCCUGGAUGCCAACCUUCUGACUUCAGAAUCUAUUAUGGAAAUGCAUCGGAGCUAAUAGGUGCCAGAUCAGGCUACUGCAGUGACUCUGUGCUUCAAAUCAGUUCCUGAGGAGGCUUUGCCACCGCAGCAGCUGCAGCAUGUCCUACGUGCAUACUAGGAGCUGUUUGAUGGUCUUCUGAAGGAGCAGCCCAUGACAGAACCAGCAGCAGAAACAGAAUGGGCAGAUUAGCCCAGAGCCUGUAGGAUAUAAAAAUUGGCAGCAGCUGACAGUUGAGAAGACAGCUGACAGAGGUACAAUUAGUGCAGUCUCUGAAGAACAGCAGCAGAGGGAGUCCUGUGCUGUCACUAGAAGUGAGGAGCUGAGGAGACGCAGGAAGAGAGAGGGAGAAGAAGCAGAGACCUGAAAGGAGACUAAACAGAGAUGAGACCUGUUACCAGCGGCUGUCAGCGACCUGUGUAAAUCUGAUCACCUGAAGUGGAGUACAACCACUUAGGAUCAUCUUACCUGUUUGUCACUGUGGUUUGGGGUGCAACAGCCUGUUGUGUGUGGAUUUGUGUUUUAGAUUAUGAUUGUGUCAGAGAUUGUUGUUUGCACCAAUAAAA
Molecule: long non-coding RNA, 778 nt
Organism: Gopherus flavomarginatus (Mexican gopher tortoise)
Lineage: Eukaryota; Metazoa; Chordata; Testudines; Testudinidae
Exons: 3
Source: RefSeq, a predicted model, not a curated record